UACGUAGGUGGCAAGCGUCGUCCGGAAUUAUUGGGCGUAAAGCGCGCGCAGGCGGUCCCUUAAGUCUGAUGUGAAAGCCCACGGCUCAACCGUGGAGGGUCAUUGGAAACUGGGGGACUUGAGUGCAGAAGAGGAAAGUGGAAUUCCACGUGUAGCGGUGAAAUGCGUAGAGAUGUGGAGGAACACCAGUGGCGAAGGCGACUUUCUGGUCUGUAACUGACGCUGAGGCGCGAAAGCGUGGGGAGCAAACAGG
RNAcentral lists this ribosomal RNA (253 nucleotides) under uncultured bacterium. Its description in RNAcentral is "partial 16S ribosomal RNA". It matches the Rfam family "Bacterial small subunit ribosomal RNA", at positions 524 to 776 of the family's 1533-position model. The record is from RNAcentral.